AGAUUGAACGCUGGCGGCAUGCCUUACACAUGCAAGUCGAACGGCAGCACGGGAGCAAUCCUGGUGGCGAGUGGCGAACGGGUGAGUAAUACAUCGGAACGUGCCCAGUUGUGGGGGAUAGCCCGGCGAAAGCCGGAUUAAUACCGCAUACGACCUACGGGUGAAAGCGGGGGAUCGCAAGACCUCGCGCUAUUGGAGCGGCCGAUGUCGGAUUAGCUUGUUGGUAGGUAAAAGCCUACCAAGGCUACGAUCCGUAGCUGGUCUGAGAGGACGACCAGCCACACUGGGACUGAGACACGGCCCAGACUCCUACGGGAGGCAGCAGUGGGGAAUUUUGGACAAUGGGCGAAAGCCUGAUCCAGCCAUGCCGCGUGACGGGAAGAAAGGCCC
Molecule: ribosomal RNA, 390 nt
Filed under: uncultured soil bacterium
Lineage: Bacteria
Description: bacterial SSU rRNA
Rfam family: Bacterial small subunit ribosomal RNA
Source: RNAcentral